AUGGCAGGAGCCCGGGCCAGGUUGUCACCGCGGAGGCAGCUGCGGGGACUGCGGGGAGGGCGGGCGUGGAGAAGGCCGGAGGACCCUCCGAGCUCGAGCCGCCCUGGUCCCCCCACGCGGCCGAGGGUCUCCCGGGUGGACCGCGCCCCGACGCUCCUGCCUCUGCGUCCUGGACUGCGCAGGCCGGGCAGCGUGUCCGCGCUGAGGGAGCCGGAGCGGAUUUCCGCCGGGUUUCCCUCCCUGGCUGCAGGAAUCCGCCGGAGACCGAGGCGACGCCCCGCUGGGUUUUCUCAGCAGGUGAGACUGGAGACUGAAAGCGAAAAACCUGACUGAGACUGAAAAAGUGAAAAUCAGCUCAAGCUGACAAAGGAAAAAGCAGCUCUACCUUUCAUCAGGCCGGGAGGACAAGACAGGUAAAUAAAGCCAGCUGUACCGGAAGUUAAAACCUCCUUUCCCC
This 457-nucleotide long non-coding RNA is filed under the name Fukomys damarensis (Damara mole-rat). RNAcentral describes it as "lncRNA (ENSFDAG00000028733.1)". Lineage: Eukaryota; Metazoa; Chordata; Mammalia; Rodentia; Bathyergidae. The record is from RNAcentral.